RNAcentral lists this ribosomal RNA (1003 nucleotides) under Pelagibacterales bacterium SAG-MED03. RNAcentral describes it as "Bacterial small subunit ribosomal RNA". It matches the Rfam family "Bacterial small subunit ribosomal RNA", at positions 519 to 1533 of the family's 1533-position model. The record is from Rfam by way of RNAcentral. Lineage: Bacteria; Pseudomonadati; Pseudomonadota; Alphaproteobacteria; Candidatus Pelagibacterales.
GGUAAUACGAAGGGACCUAGCGUAGUUCGGAAUUACUGGGCUUAAAGAGUUCGUAGGUGGUUGAAAAAGUUGGUGGUGAAAUCCCAGAGCUUAACUCUGGAACUGCCAUCAAAACUUUUCAGCUAGAGUAUGAUAGAGGAAAGCAGAAUUUCUAGUGUAGAGGUGAAAUUCGUAGAUAUUAGAAAGAAUACCAAUUGCGAAGGCAGCUUUCUGGAUCAUUACUGACACUGAGGAACGAAAGCAUGGGUAGCGAAGAGGAUUAGAUACCCUCGUAGUCCAUGCCGUAAACGAUGUGUGUUAGACGUUGGAAAUUUAUUUUCAGUGUCGCAGCGAAAGCGAUAAACACACCGCCUGGGGAGUACGACCGCAAGGUUAAAACUCAAAUGAAUUGACGGGGACCCGCACAAGUAGUGGAGCAUGUGGUUUAAUUCGAAGAUACGCGCAGAACCUUACCAACACUUGACAUGUUCGUCGCGACUCUAAGAGAUUAGAGUUUUCGGUUCGGCCGGACGAAACACAGGUGCUGCAUGGCUGUCGUCAGCUCGUGUCGUGAGAUGUUGGGUUAAGUCCCGCAACGAGCGCAACCCUCACUUUUAGUUGCCAUCAUUAAGUUGGGCACUCUGAAAGAACUGCCAGUGAUAAGCUGGAGGAAGGUGGGGAUGACGUCAAGUCCUCAUGGCCCUUACGUGUUGGGCUACACACGUGCUACAAUGGUAUCUACAACAGGAAGCAAGACUGCGAAGUUAAGCAAAUCCCUAAAAGAUACCUCAGUUCGGAUUGCACUCUGCAACUCGAGUGCAUGAAGCUGGAAUUACUAGUAAUCGUGGAUCAGCGUGCCACGGUGAAUGCGUUCCCGGGUCUUGUACACACCGCCCGUCACACCAUGGGAGUUGGUUCUACCUUAAGGCAAGGUUUCAAACCCUUGACCACGGUAUAGUCAGCGACUGGGGUGAAGUCGUAACAAGGUAGCCGUAGGGGAACCUGCGGCUGGAUUACCUCCUUU